AAACGGCGCGGCACUGCGGCUCUCGGGAGUCUGGAGAGGGGGGAGGGGUCUGAGGCCAUGGGUCCAGAAACCGUUACUGGGAAGGCAACAUGUCUCCUAAAACAGUAUGUUUGAUGGUGCUGACUCCCAUUACCUCUGAAACGACUGAGGAUACUUCUCUUAACCACCUGGGCACCUGGUCAGUUUCACCACCAUUCUGAGAAGAGCAGAGCCAUGAAGCCAGAAACAUACAAGGAUGCUGUGCUGGAGCUUGGCUUCAACUGGGUACUGACCUGAGCCCUGGUUGUUCUACUCAUAGAAUCCUCGGCUCUCUCUUUCUUCUACAGGAGUACUUGUCUGCGCCUAUUCCCCUUAGAGGGUCCUUGAUCAGUCAAGAGGAGGAGGCAGCUCCAUGUUUACACCAGAUCACAAAUUCCAUGUCCCAUCUCCAGCCCUACCCCAACCCACCCCUUUUCCAGACUUUAAAAGUUUCAGAAAAUGACCGUGACUCAGUCUGGAUCAAGAGCUGCUGACCAAUCGCCAAAUUUAAACUUCAACCGAAUGACAUGGUUGGUAUGGCCAAACAGCAACUCCUCAAAGGAAGAGAAAUGCUGUGUCCAGAGAAAUGACUUCUUGACAGAUAAAAACAGAUACCAACCUUCUCCGCAUCUUGGAAUUUGACUUCUAGCCCAUUUGAUUUACAGUACUUGUCAGCGCCUUCCUCCUGUCCAACAGAACUCCCAAACUUAGCUGCUCCCAGCUAAGCCAACAAGAUGACACUGCACUCCAAAAGAUACUGAAAGGCAAAAACCAAGAGUUAUAAACUGCAGCUAUAUACAAGGCUUCUUAAAUGCAGGGAGCUUUGAACAGAUGGACUACGUUAAUAUAAUUAAAAAGUAAUU
Molecule: long non-coding RNA, 881 nt
Organism: Callorhinus ursinus (northern fur seal)
Lineage: Eukaryota; Metazoa; Chordata; Mammalia; Carnivora; Otariidae
Source: RefSeq, a predicted model, not a curated record